Phrynosoma platyrhinos (Desert horned lizard) is the source of this 70-nucleotide non-coding RNA. The record is from the annotation of a GenBank genome assembly. Lineage: Eukaryota; Metazoa; Chordata; Lepidosauria; Squamata; Phrynosomatidae.
UGGUGUGGCAUAGUGGUUUGAGCGUCGGACUAUGACUCUGGAGAUCAGGGUUCGGAUCUCAGCUUGGCAA